Cyprinus carpio (common carp) is the source of this 1234-nucleotide long non-coding RNA. RefSeq lists it as uncharacterized. The record is from RefSeq and is a predicted model, not a curated record. The transcript has 3 exons. Lineage: Eukaryota; Metazoa; Chordata; Actinopteri; Cypriniformes; Cyprinidae.
GACGGUUUGCCUAUGCAGUGUGAGGGGGAACUGUAGAACAGCACCAAAACAGCCUCAGGGCAUGCCCACUAUUCAGUCAACAGUGGGCAUCCUGCUCGGAACCCUGGGAGUUAUAGGCGUCAUACUGAUUGCUAAAUUUGUGAGACUGUCUUACCAGAAUUCAACACCACCAAACAAAGGCUGCCAGGAACGUGUGCCACUUAAAGUCUCUCACUAACUUCUGAGAGUUUUUAGAUCAUUCGGCCAAGCUGUUUUAGAGAUGGAGAAUAAUAAUCCCAUCCCCCGGGAUAAUAACCAGGCUGAAACAGUUUCACAUUUAGUGAGACAGGAAAGGUUACCCACAAUCCCUUUUAGCCAGCCAUCUCCUGUUUAUGUUGAGAUGACACUGGCGAACGUGACCCAGAUGACCUUACAAGUAUGCUAUAUAUUGACAUUCAGUGCGCCAAAAAUAGCCACGCCACUGAGUCACAACAGUAGCCUUCCUGCUACGACUGUAAACGAAGCCUGUUUGGCAUCGAAUGUAUAGCAGGCACUAUUAUGUUCUGCUCAGGUGCUCUUUUAAAAUAUUGGUAAGCGUGUCACAUUGCCUCAUGCACUUCCUGUCAUGUUUCUGCUAAAUCUUGCCAUGAGGACAUCAUUUGUGUAAUCUCUCAGGAUCUAUUUCAUGAUUAUUCUGCUAUUAAAGCAUAGAAUCAUAAUAUCACAUCCAGGGUUGCUCAUUCUGCCGGGGCGUAAGGAAAGAAUUGUAACAUCCAAAAACAACAUGCUGAUUAUUUACCCUCCAGCAGAGUUCCCAAUACUGACGUUUUCAGGAUGUCCCCUAAUGUAAUCUUAAAAAUACAACAUGUACGCAAAUACUACAAAAUAUGAAUUGCUUUUGGAACUGUCAACACAUUGCUUUGCUAUGAACAACCCCAUGAGGGUUAUGAAUGGUUAUGGUUGCAUAUUUUUGAAGGGCAGCAGCCCAAAAGAAUGUUUACAAAAGACCCAGUCAUUGCUAGGUCAAGCCUAAUAAUACUGUGAAAGGCGGGGUCUAUAUUUAGAUUCUCUGGCCUUGUUUUAGUUCUCUUAGGAUCAGAUCGGUACAGCUGGCUAACAGGCCAGAUUAUACUAUCAACCAGCUGAAACUGUGAGCUUUAGCUUUUUAACCUUUGUCAAAAUGUAUGUACAUUUUGUUAUAAAGAGAGGAAAUGCAAACUGAAAAACAGGGUUUUGUAAAACUCCAAAAACGUAC